Non-coding RNA from Rattus norvegicus (Norway rat), 2398 nucleotides. The record is from RefSeq and is a predicted model, not a curated record. NCBI's taxonomy places the organism in Eukaryota, Metazoa, Chordata, Mammalia, Rodentia, Muridae.
GGAGGAGGCCGCCAUGAGAACGGAUGGAUCAUGAGCACGUGACCCAGAGAAGUGCACCCUGAGGACAGGCUGACAAAGCAGAAGCAGCCAGAGAGAGACUCAAAAGCAAGUAACAAGGGGCAUAUGGUUUGAAUACAGGCCAGCAGAUUGAAGAGAGGACACUACUCCAAUUUCAACAUCCAAGCAACUGAAACAUACAGCUAUUAAAUGACUAGUUCUAUCCAGAUAGCAAGCAAAACUCAAACCCAUAGCAGACCCACCCUGUGCUGUGUCUACAAGUCUCUGUCUCCAUGAAACCUAACUGACUUUUCUUACCCAGACGUCAGAUACCUUUGGGAAGUAGAAAGCCAUGGAUCUCUAGAAAACCGUUUGGUGGUCUCUCCAAAGCCCCAGACCUCCAGUUCCAGUCGUCAAACACAACAAGCUAACGAGAAUCUCUCCCAGUGCUUCUCUGGGAAAGCCCAGACUUCAGAGUCCCAGAGCAGCAAGUCGGACUUUCCUAUCAAGAGGCGAUCCCUCUCCAUUCCUCAUUAAGCUAGGCUCGUGCUUUCUAGUAACUUUUGCUUACACCGCAAAACUGUCAUAGGUUAUGGAAACACAAAGGCCUUGUGCAGGGACGCCCUGAGCCCCUGGAAGUCAUUAUUCCUUCCUCUAGCGAUUGUUGAAUUAAACGUCGUAAAUAUGGUUCCCAUCCUGUUCCCUUCUCCACCCCAUGAGGCGCACACACACACACACACACACACACACACACACACACACACACACACACACACACGAUCUGCUGGACAUAUGUUGAGAAGAAAGUAGGGACUUGUGAGUGAGAAAAAAAAAUCACAUGUCCUGAGUGACGAGCCUGAGAGCUUUAAGGAAGUUGGGGUGGAGGGGUGGAUCUUCAGUUCCGGAAAUGGAAUAUGUACAGAGUGUAUGGCUUAUGUGUCUCACAAAGCUUUUUUAACAUAUAAAAAUCUGUAGCACAUGGCUUCUUUUUUUCUUUUUGGUAUAGGGCAGUAAACAAGAGCUUUGAAAGGGGAAGGAAACCAGGAGAAAGCCAGUUCCAUUAGUCACGCAGCUGCAUAUCCUGUCACAAAGGACCCCAGUUGAGUAAUCGCCCAAAAUAUGCCUGUUAUUUUUUUUCUGUCAGAAAAAAAAAUGGGGCCUGCCAAAAUGUACUGUAAAGAAAAAAAUGGAAGGGGGGGAAGCUGGUCUUUCAGCCCCCACCCCCCAGGAGGGAGGAAAAUAAAGAAGAAACAGGCAUAGCUUGGAAAUGCUCUUCCAACCCCCUCUGUACUUGUCUUUGCAAGAAGAAGCUCUCAAACUGCUUGUGGCAAUGGGGCCUGCGGGGCUGGAGGAUGACUGGCUCCUUGGCCAACCCGUUUCCAGAGUCCUUACAUGGCGUCACUGGGUACCAGAUGUGAAGGAGGCAAAGGCAGUGGAAGAAGGCAAGGGAGAGGCAAGCUGUAAUCCAAGAAAAGGAGCCUAGAGAGUGACUAUGUCCUUUGAACAUCCUUAUGUGGGAGACUUCAGGGCUCCAUAGCGAAUCUGUGGCAGCUCACACACCCGUUCCACGAGCCCUGUGUGAGUCCUGCAGGGGCCACUGACUUCCUUCCGGCAAGCACAGCUGUCUCACUGUCAGCUUUUCUGAUGAGCUCAGCAAAACCGGCUUCUGCUCAGGCGUGAGCCAUGCUUGCGAUGUUUGGACUACAGACGGAACAAGAGAAGGAGGAUAUCUGAUUUGGGAUUAAGCUGAGGAACUGGGGCUCAAAAUCCAGCAAGGGUGUGCGCAUCUAUAGCUACCUGGGGACCUGAGGCAGGAGGAUUAUUUGGGCAUAUAAAGUCCAAGUUCACAAGUUGGGUGGGAAGGCACUCUGCAAUACGCUCCGGUGAGUAGACGCUUACCGCGGAAGCUGACAACCUGAGUUCAAGCCCCAGGAUCCACGUGGUAGAAGCAAAGAGCCCACUCCCGCACGGCAUCGCACUUGCUGAUACAUUUUAAAAUAAAGAAGAGAGGAGACUUAGAAGGCGCGGAGAUGGGGCUCCGGAGACAGGCCGCUUUGAUCAGAGCUGCCUACGGACUUCCGGACUUCCGGUGCUCUCCUGGAUCGGCUUCCCAAGCACCUGGUGAGGAGACCAAGCCACAGCGAAGGUGCUCUAAAAUGUCAUCCAGUCACCACCUUUGCUCCAUGUUCUUAGUCCGUCGUCCUCAGAACUUGGGGGGAGAGGGUUACUUCAAGUACAAAGGAUUCUCCAAAAAUCACACUUUCCCUCCUGCCAAGACUGUAAAGACUCAGAGCUGUCUCGAAGAAGGGGAGGGCUUGUACAUCCACCAGGGAGUUUUCUCCUAAAGGAAGGAAGGGAGAAUCAAACAAAUAAAAGUAUGUAUGAAAAAUGGAAAACUAAA